GAUGAACGCUGGCGGCGUGCUUAACACAUGCAAGUCGAACGACCAGACGAGUGGUUUCCCUCUCGGAUCAUUGGCGCACGGGGGUGUAACACGUGUGGAUCCUGUCCCUCACUGUGGGAGAAGCACUGGGAACUGUGUCUCAAACUGGAGACGACCAAUCCUACCGUGGGGUUUUGGUGUGAAGAUUUAUCGGUGAUGGAUGGACUCGCGGCCUAUCAGCUUAUUGGCGGGUUAAUGGCCUACCAACGCGACGACGGGUCGCCGGCCCGCGAGGGUGACCGGCCACACUGGGACUGAGACACGGACCAGAAUCCUACGGGAGGCAGCAGUGGGGAAUAUUGCACAAUAGCCGAGAGCCUGAUGCAGAGACGCCGCGUGAGGGAUGCCGGCCUUUGGGUUGUAAACAUCUUUCAGAAGGGAAGAAGCGAAAGUGACGGUACCUGCAGAAGAAGCACCGGCUAACUACGUG
RNAcentral lists this ribosomal RNA (469 nucleotides) under uncultured bacterium. RNAcentral describes it as "partial 16S ribosomal RNA". It matches the Rfam family "Bacterial small subunit ribosomal RNA", at positions 28 to 507 of the family's 1533-position model. The record is from RNAcentral.